RNAcentral lists this ribosomal RNA (471 nucleotides) under uncultured bacterium. RNAcentral describes it as "partial 16S ribosomal RNA". It matches the Rfam family "Bacterial small subunit ribosomal RNA", at positions 28 to 507 of the family's 1533-position model. The record is from RNAcentral.
GACGAACGCUGGCGGCGUGCUUAACACAUGCAAGUCGAACGCUGAAGCUCAGCUUUUGUUGGGUGGAUGAGUGGCGAACGGGUGAGUAACACGUAAGUAACCUGCCCUCUUCUUUGGGAUAACGCCCGGAAACGGGUGCUAAUACUGGAUAUUCACUGAUCUUCGCAUGGAGGUUGGUGGAAAGGUUUGUUCUGGUGGGGGAUGGGCUCGCGGCCUAUCAGCUUGUUGGUGGGGUGAUGGCCUACCAAGGCUUUGACGGGUAGCCGGACUGAGAGGGUGAGCGGUCACAUUGGGACUGAGAUACGGCCCAGACUCCUACGGGAGGCAGCAGUGGGGAAUAUUGAACAAUGGGCGAAAGCCUGAUGCAGCGACGCCGCGUGAGGGAUGGAGGACUUAGGGUUGUAAACCGCUUUCGCCUGUGACGAAGCGUGAGUGACGGUAAUGGGUAAAGAAGCACCGGCUAACUACGUG